Molecule: transfer RNA, 87 nt
Filed under: Synergistaceae bacterium
Lineage: Bacteria; Thermotogati; Synergistota; Synergistia; Synergistales; Synergistaceae
Also listed under: 1 other name
Description: tRNA-Leu
Rfam family: tRNA
About the family: Transfer RNA (tRNA) molecules are approximately 80 nucleotides in length. Their secondary structure includes four short double-helical elements and three loops (D, anti-codon, and T loops). Further hydrogen bonds mediate the characteristic L-shaped molecular structure. tRNAs have two regions of fundamental functional importance: the anti-codon, which is responsible for specific mRNA codon recognition, and the 3' end, to which the tRNAs corresponding amino acid is attached (by aminoacyl-tRNA synthetases). tRNAs cope with the degeneracy of the genetic code in two manners: having more than one tRNA (with a specific anti-codon) for a particular amino acid; and 'wobble' base-pairing, i.e. permitting non-standard base-pairing at the 3rd anti-codon position.
Source: RNAcentral
GUCGGGGUGGCGGAAUUGGUAGACGCGCUAGAUUCAGGAUCUAGUGGGCGAAAGCCUGUGGGGGUUCAAAUCCCCCCCUCGACACCA